GACGAACGCUGGCGGCGUGCUUAACACAUGCAAGUCGAACGGAAAGGCCCUGCUUUUGUGGGGUGCUCGAGUGGCGAACGGGUGAGUAACACGUGAGUAACCUGCCCUUGACUUUGGGAUAACUUCAGGAAACUGGGGCUAAUACCGGAUAGGAGCUCCUGCUGCAUGGUGGGGGUUGGAAAGUUUCGGCGGUUGGGGAUGGACUCGCGGCUUAUCAGCUUGUUGGUGGGGUAGUGGCUUACCAAGGCUUUGACGGGUAGCCGGCCUGAGAGGGUGACCGGCCACAUUGGGACUGAGAUACGGCCCAGACUCCUACGGGAGGCAGCAGUGGGGAAUAUUGCACAAUGGGCGGAAGCCUGAUGCAGCAACGCCGCGUGCGGGAUGACGGGCUUCGGGUUGUAUACCGCUUUCGCCUGUGACGAAGCGUGAGUGACGGUAAUGGGUAAAGAAGCACCGGCUAACUACGUG
This 468-nucleotide ribosomal RNA is filed under the name uncultured bacterium. Its description in RNAcentral is "partial 16S ribosomal RNA". It matches the Rfam family "Bacterial small subunit ribosomal RNA", at positions 28 to 507 of the family's 1533-position model. The record is from RNAcentral.